Molecule: long non-coding RNA, 324 nt
Organism: Onychostoma macrolepis
Lineage: Eukaryota; Metazoa; Chordata; Actinopteri; Cypriniformes; Cyprinidae
Exons: 3
Source: RefSeq, a predicted model, not a curated record
GAGAAAUAUCACUGAAAAUAAAAAGCAAGGGGAAGAGAUGGAGAACAGACUGGAAGAGUCGCAAACCAGAGAAUCGAGAGAGACACUGAAACUUAGCAGCAUGGAGAUUUUAAAACCAAAUCUCUUUCAUGAUUCAGUCAAACCUGCAGUCUUGUUCUCAUUUAUCAGAGACAGCUCAAGAAGAGAAAAUGUGGGAGAUUUUUUUCAUUAUUAUCUUAAACUGCAGGCUUCACAUCCCUGCAACCCUUAAAAAAAGGAAGGAUGGAAAUCUUCAACUCAUACUGAAUAUAAUUUAUCAUCAUUAUUACCUUUAUUAAAAUGGCA